AUGACGAUGUCUGGGCGGUACGUGGCGGCCACGGGCGCCCUCAUGGCGUGCGGCCACUGCGGCGGCCUCCGCCGCGUCAGGAUGGAGGGCGAGUUCGUCUCCUGCGACUCGUGCGGCAAGGUCCUGCAGCAGCGGGGCCGGAAGCAGCGCGCCUUGGAGGUGGAGGCUCGGCGGCGGCGGCGCUGGUUGGGGGCCAGGAAGAGACGGGACGGCCGCGCGGCGGCCGGUGGCGGAGGCAUGGUCGUCGGACGGGAGGCAUCUGAUGCCGAGUCCGACACUGGUUGUGUUUGUUUCGUGGAAUCGUCGUCGUAG
RNAcentral lists this ribosomal RNA (312 nucleotides) under Triticum aestivum (bread wheat). RNAcentral's name for it is "partial small subunit ribosomal RNA". The record is from RNAcentral. Lineage: Eukaryota; Viridiplantae; Streptophyta; Magnoliopsida; Poales; Poaceae.